UACGGAGGGUGCAAGCGUUAUCCGGAUUCACUGGGUUUAAAGGGUGCGUAGGAGGGUAGGUAAGUCAGUGGUGAAAUCUUCGAGCUUAACUCGGAAACUGCCGUUGAUACUAUCUAUCUUGAAUACCGUGGAGGUGAGCGGAAUAUGUCAUGUAGCGGUGAAAUGCUUAGAUAUGACAUAGAACACCAAUUGCGAAGGCAGCUCGCUACACGAAUAUUGACGCUGAGGCUCGAAAGCGUGGGGAUCAAACAGG
This 253-nucleotide ribosomal RNA is filed under the name uncultured bacterium. RNAcentral's name for it is "partial 16S ribosomal RNA". It matches the Rfam family "Bacterial small subunit ribosomal RNA", at positions 524 to 776 of the family's 1533-position model. The record is from RNAcentral.